CAAUAGCGUAUAUUAAAGUUGUUGCAGUUAAGAAGCUCGUAGUUGGACCUUGGACCUGGACAGGCGGUCCGCCUCACGGCGUGUACUGUCUUGCUGGGUCUUUCCUCUUGGUGAUCUGUUGUUUCGGCAGCAGGGAACCAGGACUUUUACUUUGAAAAAAUUAGAGUGUUCAAAGCAGGCUCGACGCCGGAAUAUAUUAGCAUGGAAUAAUAAAAUAGGACGUGCGGUUCUAUUUUGUUGGUUUUUGGAAUCGCCGUAAUGAUUAAUAGGGACAGUCGGGGGCAUUAGUACUCACAUGCUAGAGGUGAAAUUCUUGGAUUUUGUGAAGACUAACUUCUGCGAAAGCAUUUGCCAAGGAUGUUUUCAUUAA
This 370-nucleotide ribosomal RNA is filed under the name uncultured eukaryote. RNAcentral describes it as "partial 18S ribosomal RNA". It matches the Rfam family "Eukaryotic small subunit ribosomal RNA", at positions 592 to 976 of the family's 1831-position model. The record is from RNAcentral.